AGUCACCACUGGAGCACAUGGGGUGACAUUUAGACUGCACAGUAGCGCAGGGGGGAAAGUCAUGUCUGCCGAGCGGCCGAGUGCGGAGGGUGAGCCUAGGCAGGAGAACGCAGAGUGCCCUGGAACCGCCAACAUGUCUGUUCUUAGACCACGUGGACAGACGUUACAGCCGACUAGUCCCCUGCACCAACCCUUGGCAGACUCUGUUUAGAUCUGCCCCUGAUAGAGUUGAUUUCUCUUGCUGCUGACACCUUCCUCAUUCUUUUUACCUCCUUUUAAAAAUAUUUCUCUCUUCCAAGAAUUCGGUAGAUGGUCCCAAACCAAAGACGUUACAGAAGUCUUCCUGGAUCUCAGAUACCCACGUGGGAUGCGUCACUUUGAGUACGAUGACCAACUACUGCCAAUGAAACUGAAGAUUUUACAGUAUUCCGCCAGAAAGGUCUAUCAUGGGCAUAGAAGACCAGCCAUCAGCCUCUUGGGACUGCCUGACGGAUGGACACAAUGCUGACUGUCGUUUCCUACCCCAUCCUAGAGCCAAUCAAAAUGACACACGUAACUAAGAAAGCUUUUGAACUGGAAGUGUGUUUCUGCUUCCCCUUGAGAUCAAAGUUUCAAGAUCCUAGAAAGUUCUCAAUAAAUGCCUGUGACAUGGAUGGAUGAAUCCACAGAUCAAUAAGUAGAUUGGCCCCAUACUGUUUCCUGUCUCCUGUGUACCUCCGGAACCGGUGCUUUUGACAAUCUGUGAGCUAUUCUCAAAGAGUAAUAAACAAAAAAAAUUGAGG
Molecule: long non-coding RNA, 782 nt
Organism: Rattus norvegicus (Norway rat)
Lineage: Eukaryota; Metazoa; Chordata; Mammalia; Rodentia; Muridae
Source: RefSeq, a predicted model, not a curated record